Molecule: long non-coding RNA, 215 nt
Filed under: Lathyrus oleraceus (garden pea)
Lineage: Eukaryota; Viridiplantae; Streptophyta; Magnoliopsida; Fabales; Fabaceae
Description: Pisum sativum (pea) long non-coding RNA (PSAT_LNC011104)
Source: RNAcentral
AGCUAUCAUUUAUGCUGUUAACUCUGUUGCAACCUGUGUUAGAGAAACUUUUUGAAAUUCAGCGUGUGACGACCGUCCCUAUAGGGUGACGUCUGUCUCACAGAUGUGACGACCGUCACGAAUUCCAGAGAGCUCGCUUAUAAAUGCAGGCGCUCUUUCUCCCUUCUUCCUCACCAAUUAUCACUCUCUUGCAUUCUGCUCUUCAUCUAUUUAAU